RNAcentral lists this transfer RNA (73 nucleotides) under Ictidomys tridecemlineatus (thirteen-lined ground squirrel). Its description in RNAcentral is "Spermophilus tridecemlineatus (thirteen-lined ground squirrel) tRNA". It matches the Rfam family "tRNA". From Rfam's summary of the family: Transfer RNA (tRNA) molecules are approximately 80 nucleotides in length. The record is from Rfam by way of RNAcentral. Lineage: Eukaryota; Metazoa; Chordata; Mammalia; Rodentia; Sciuridae.
GGGAGCAUGGCUCAGUGGUAGAGCACUUGCCUAAUAUGCAGCAAGGGCCUGAGUUCAACUCCCAGUACCACUA